RNAcentral lists this unclassified non-coding RNA (120 nucleotides) under Lachnospiraceae bacterium NK3A20. Lineage: Bacteria; Bacillati; Bacillota; Clostridia; Lachnospirales; Lachnospiraceae. The record is from RNAcentral.
AACCGCCGUGUACCGAACGGUACGCACGGUGGUGUGAGAGGACGGCGGCUAAUCACCGCCUCCUACUUGAUUAAAAAAUCAGGAGAAAGAUGAUGGCAAGGGCAAGAUCACCUACUUAAU